AGACAGCAGUAGCCGCGGGAAUACGGAGGGGGCUAGCGUUGUUCGGAAUUACUGGGCGUAAAGCGCACGUAGGCGGCUUGGUAAGUUAGAGGUGAAAGCCUGGAGCUCAACUCCAGAAUUGCCUUUAAGACUGCCGAGCUAGCAGGUGAGAGAGGUAAGUGGAAUUCCGAGUGUAGAGGUGAAAUUCGUAGAUAUUCGGAAGAACACCAGUGGCGAAGGCGGCUUACUGGCUCAUACUGGACGCUGAGGUGCGAAAGCGUGGGGAGCAAACAGGAUUAGAUACCCGCGUAGUCCCUGUCUCUUAUAC
Molecule: ribosomal RNA, 307 nt
Filed under: uncultured bacterium
Lineage: Bacteria
Description: partial 16S ribosomal RNA
Rfam family: Bacterial small subunit ribosomal RNA
Source: RNAcentral